CCUACGGGAGGCAGCAGUGGGGAAUAUUGGGCAAUGGGCGCAAGCCUGACCCAGCAACGCCGCGUGAAGGAAGAAGGCUCUCGGGUUGUAAACUUCUUUUAUCAGGGACGAAGCAAGUGACGGUACCUGAUGAAUAAGCCACGGCUAACUACGUGCCAGCCGCCGCGGUAAUACGUAGGUGGCAAGCGUUAUCCGGAUUUACUGGGUGUAAAGGGCGUGUAGGCGGGACAGCAAGUCAGAUGGGAAAACCAUGGGCUCAACCUGUGGCCUGCAGUUGAAACUGUUGUUCUUGAGUACUGGAGAGGCAGACGGAAUUCCUAGUGUAGCGGUGAAAUGCGUAGAUAUUAGGAGGAACACCAGUGGCGAAGGCGAUCUGCUGGACAGCAACUGACGCUGAGGCGCGAAAGCGUGGGGAGCAAACAGGAUUAGAUACCCUUGUAGUC
Molecule: ribosomal RNA, 443 nt
Filed under: uncultured bacterium
Lineage: Bacteria
Description: partial 16S ribosomal RNA
Rfam family: Bacterial small subunit ribosomal RNA
Source: RNAcentral